This 188-nucleotide ribosomal RNA is filed under the name uncultured bacterium. RNAcentral's name for it is "partial 16S ribosomal RNA". It matches the Rfam family "Bacterial small subunit ribosomal RNA", at positions 1314 to 1500 of the family's 1533-position model. The record is from RNAcentral.
GCCUGCAUGAAGUUGGAAUUGCUAGUAAUCGCGAAUCAGAAUGUCGCGGUGAAUACGUUCCCGGGCCUUGUACACACCGCCCGUCACACCAUGAGAGUCGAUAACACCCGAAGCCUGUGAGCUAACCUUUUAGGAGGCAGCAGUCGAAGGUGGGGUUGAUGAUUGGGGUGAAGUCGUAACAAGGUAAC